This 539-nucleotide ribosomal RNA is filed under the name uncultured bacterium. RNAcentral describes it as "partial 16S ribosomal RNA". It matches the Rfam family "Bacterial small subunit ribosomal RNA", at positions 355 to 883 of the family's 1533-position model. The record is from RNAcentral.
UGGGGAAUUUUGGACAAUGGGCGAAAGCCUGAUCCAGCAAUGCCGCGUGUGUGAAGAAGGCCUUCGGGUUGUAAAGCACUUUUUGUCCGGAAAGAAAUCCUUGGCUCUAAUACAGUCGGGGGAUGACGGUACCGGAAGAAUAAGCACCGGCUAACUACGUGCCAGCAGCCGCGGUAAUACGUAGGGUGCAAGCGUUAAUCGGAAUUACUGGGCGUAAAGCGUGCGCAGGCGGUUUGCUAAGACCGAUGUGAAAUCCCCGGGCUCAACCUGGGAACUGCAUUGGUGACUGGCAGGCUAGAGUAUGGCAGUAGGGGGGUAGAAUUCCACGUGUGANCAGUGAAAUGCGUAGAGAUGUGGAGGAAUACCGAUGGCGAAGGCAGCCCCCUGGGCCAAUACUGACGCUCAUGCACGAAAGCGUGGGGAGCAAACAGGAUUAGAUACCCUGGUAGUCCACGCCCUAAACGAUGUCAACUAGUUGUUGGGGACUUCAUUUCCUUAGUAACGUAGCUAACGCGUGAAGUUGACCGCCUGGGGAGUAC